RNAcentral lists this unclassified non-coding RNA (1676 nucleotides) under Arabidopsis thaliana (thale cress). Lineage: Eukaryota; Viridiplantae; Streptophyta; Magnoliopsida; Brassicales; Brassicaceae. The record is from RNAcentral.
UAAAAAAUGUUAAGUAGAUUUCUCAUAACAUGAACUGAAUGUGGAUAAGUUGUCAAUCCAAUCAUGUGAACUCCUUGUUACAGGAAGCAGCAGCCACUGAAGUCGACGAUUUUUUCAAAGAAAAGUCAAUUUAUAUUAUAAAUUUCAGAUGAAGAGAUAAGAUCCACUUUCACAUCUUUGGAUUUUGUCGCUGGCCUACCUCGGUUGAUAUUUUCCAAAAUGGCAAAAUCCAAGGCAAGGACGCCUGGAGUAUCCCCACAUGCAGUGGUGAUUUGAUCCACUUUCAUAUCGUCGGUGGUGUAAUCUUUUGACAAUUUUAUGCUAUUGAUCUGCAUGUUAAUAAAUUUUCGGUUCUCAUAUUUUCCAUUUCUUUAUCUUCUUAAUAAGCUUUUAUAUCUAAAACGUUUUUCAGGUUUGAGUAUAAGAGUAGGUUGGACAGAACUGGUUAUGUCCUGGAAGUUUUUUUUAUUUGGCGCAUAAACUCGGGAUCGGGCAUAAAUUUGGCGCAGUAGUUAGUAAUACAAGAAAGAUGUGCAUAGUAGCUUUACUACAAGAAUAUGGAGUAUCGGUAGCGUUCAAAAAACGCUAUUUAAUUAUACUAUAACGUUAUUAGAAACGCUCUAUCAUCGUCCGUCAUAAAAGGUCAGAGAUAUAUUGUAGCGCUUUUUUGUUAUGCUAUCAUUAUUUCAUUUAUUACAGCGCUUUAACUGCUGCAAUAUUUAAUUAUUUAAUAGCGAUUAGUUUUUGAUAUAAAUAACUAUUAUACAUAGCAUAUUUAUUUGUUACAUAUAAUUAGACAAUAGCAUUUAGUUAAUUGCAAUAUCUAUAAAUAAUGACAUUUUUAAUUAUGCAAUAUUUCUCCAUUUAAUUCCAGGUCAUAAAUUAUUUUUUAAUCAAAUAAAUAUUUAUUCAAAUAUUAUAUCAUAAAUUCAAAAUUCGAAAGGAAAUUCAUAUUAGAUCAAAUUCAAGAUCCGAAAUUACAUUUCAAUGUCAAAGCCAAACAUGAUUUUAUCGGUACUUAACAAAAAAAACCACAUAAUGUUUACACAAACAUGAUUUUAUCAGUAAGCCAAGCCACAAUACUACCUACUACAUCGACAAUGGUUUGAAUUUUAGAGUUUGGUCUCCACACAGCAGCAUCUCCAAUCUUUGAAACUUCUACACAUACCUUGCUCGCAUUUGGACUUAGGGGCAUAUGAUGGACUGUAUCUGAAGGGUUAGAGAUUUGAUGGUGCUAGCAGUACUGUUACUUAAGCUCUACAAGAAUCAAAAAUAAUACCAAGCAUUCAGGCGAUGGUCUUUUCUAGGCUGUAAGUUAAAGUGCAGAAAUUUACCAGUGGAGGUGAUGGUCUUUUAUCUGGUGAUGUUGUUUCAUACAGUGGAGGAGAUGAAUUCACAUAUUGUAUACUAUGAAGUGGCCAUGCAAUGUUCUCAUUUAGUACAUCUCCCAUAACAAACUUUCCUAGACUUGGUCUCCACAAAUAUGCGGCUUUGUUAAACACCUUUUCAACCUUAACAAUUGCAGCAGAAGGACCAAGAGGCAUAUUGUUCACAAGUUCUUUUCAGUCUGUUGAACACAAUCGACCCUCACCAACCACAGAAUCAGCCAUAUUCCAAUCAAUUAUGAUGAUUUUAACGGUUGAUGAAUCUUUAGCCUAAAGCAUGAUGCAUAAAUA